GGUGAGAUGGCCGAGUUGGUUAUGGCGUAGGAUUAAGGUGUCUUGAUCAUCUAAUUUCCUAUGGAGCAAUCCGCGUGGGUUCAAGUCCCACUCUCAUCA
This is a non-coding RNA of Hypoxylon sp. FL0890, 99 nucleotides long. Lineage: Eukaryota; Fungi; Ascomycota; Sordariomycetes; Xylariales; Hypoxylaceae. The record is from the annotation of a GenBank genome assembly.